Molecule: ribosomal RNA, 497 nt
Filed under: uncultured bacterium
Lineage: Bacteria
Description: partial 16S ribosomal RNA
Rfam family: Bacterial small subunit ribosomal RNA
Source: RNAcentral
GAUGAACGCUGGCGGCGUGCCUAAUACAUGCAAGUCGAGCGAACAGAUAAGGAGCUUGCUCCUUUGACGUUAGCGUCGGACGGGUGAGUAAAACGUGGGUAACCUACCUAUAAGACUGGAAUAACUCCGGGAAACCGGUGCUAAUUCCGGAUAACAUUUAGAACCGCAUGGUUCUAAAGUGAAAGAUGGUUUUGCUAUCACUUAUAGAUGGACCCGCUCCGUAUUAGCUAGUUGGUAAGGUAACGGCUUACCAAGGCAACGAUACGUAGCCGACCUGAGAGGGUGAUCGGCCACACUGGAACUGAGACACGGUCCAGACUCCUACGGGAGGCAGCAGUGGGGAAUCUUCCGCAAUGGGCGAAAGCCUGACGGAGCAACGCCGCGUGAGUGAUGAAGGUCUUCGGAUCGUAAAACUCUGUUAUUAGGGAAGAACAAAUGUGUAAGUAACUGUGCACGUCUUGACGGUACCUAAUCAGAAAGCCACGGCUAACUACGUG